RNAcentral lists this ribosomal RNA (480 nucleotides) under uncultured bacterium. RNAcentral describes it as "partial 16S ribosomal RNA". It matches the Rfam family "Bacterial small subunit ribosomal RNA", at positions 29 to 507 of the family's 1533-position model. The record is from RNAcentral.
ACGAACGUUGGCGGCGUGCUUAAUACAUGCAAGUCACCUGAAGCAGUGGUAGCAAUAUCGCUGUGGAGGUGGCGCACGGGUGAGUAACACGUAGGUAAUCUGCCUUCAGGUCUGGCAUAACUCCGGGAAACCGGGGCUAAUAGCAGAUGAUGCAGCGGCUCGACAUCGAGACAGUUGUUAAAGCUAUGGCGCCUGAAGAUGAGCCUGCGUCUGAUUAGCUAGUUGGCGGGGUAACGGCCCACCAAGGCAACGAUCAGUAGCUGGUCUGAGAGGAUGAUCAGCCACACUGGAACUGAGACACGGUCCAGACUCCUACGGGAGGCAGCAGUAAGGAAUAUUGCUCAAUGGGAGAAAUCCUGAGGCAGCAACGCCGCGUGAGGGACGAAGGGCUUUUGCUUGUAAACCUCUGUAGUGAGAGAAAAAAAUCCCAAUCUUUGGGACAUGAUGGUAUCUCAAAAGUAAGCCCCGGCUAACUACGUG